GAUGAACGCUGACAGAAUGCUUAACACAUGCAAGUCGAUGGGGAAGUGGUGCUUGCACCAUGGUAACCAUGGCGGACGGGUGGGUAACGCGUAAGGAACUUACCUGCGGGACCGGGAUAACAGCAGGAAACUGCUGACAAGACCGGAUAAGGUCAUUAAGCUGCAUAGCUUAGUGAUGAAAGGAGACGCCUGCGGAGAGCCUUGCGUCCUAUUAGCUAGUUGGAGGGGUAACGGCCCACCAAGGCGAAGAUAGGUAGCCGGCCUGAGAGGGUGGACGGCCACAAGGGGACUGAGAUACGGCCCUUACGCCUACGGGAGGCAGCAGUGGGGAAUAUUGGACAAUGGGGGCAACCCUGAUCCAGCAAUUCUGUGUGCACGAAGACGGUUUUCGGAUUGUAAAGUGCUUUCAGCAGGGAAGAAGGAAGUGACGGUACCUGCAGAAGAAGCGACGGCUAAAUACGUG
RNAcentral lists this ribosomal RNA (463 nucleotides) under uncultured bacterium. RNAcentral's name for it is "partial 16S ribosomal RNA". It matches the Rfam family "Bacterial small subunit ribosomal RNA", at positions 28 to 507 of the family's 1533-position model. The record is from RNAcentral.